Molecule: ribosomal RNA, 421 nt
Filed under: uncultured eukaryote
Lineage: Eukaryota
Description: SSU rRNA
Rfam family: Eukaryotic small subunit ribosomal RNA
Source: RNAcentral
AGCUCCAAUAGCGUAUAUUAAAGUUGUUGCGGUUAAAAGCUCGUAGUUGGAUUUCUGUCGGUGAGGUGCAGUCCGGCCUUUGUGUUGUGUACUUGUACCGCCACCGGCAUCUUCCUAGGGACUGUGUCUGCUCUUCAUUGAGUGGCGCAUAAUCUAGGACUUUUACUUUGAGGAAAUAGGAGUGUUUCAAGCAGGCAUGCGCCGUGAACACGUUAGCAUGGAAUAAUAGCAUCGGACCUCGCUCCAAAGCUGUUGGUUUCUUGGAACGAGGUAAAGGUGAAUAGGGAUUGUUGGGGGCAUUCGUAUUUAACUGUCAGAGGUGAAAUUCUUGGAUUUGUUGAAGACGGACUACUGCGAAAGCAUCUGCCAAAGAUGUUCUCAUUGAUCAAGAACGAAAGUUAACGCUGACGCAAGGCACACA